AUUACCCUGAAAUGCACGAUAAACCUUGUUAGUUUUGAACCUACAUUUACUUUAAACGGGAUUCCUACAUUGCUGUAUGGCUGUCAGGCCCCCACUUUCGCAAGAAAGGAUCGCAGGGGAAGACAAAAGUACGGUUGCGGUCACCCACCUAGCUUUGCUAGGAGUCAAAAAACAAGGGGCGGCAUUUUGGGUGUAAA
This 197-nucleotide non-coding RNA is filed under the name Lachnospiraceae bacterium. Its description in RNAcentral is "6S RNA". It matches the Rfam family "6S / SsrS RNA". From Rfam's summary of the family: E. coli 6S RNA was the first non coding RNA to be sequenced, but its function was unknown until recently. Lineage: Bacteria; Bacillati; Bacillota; Clostridia; Lachnospirales; Lachnospiraceae. The record is from RNAcentral.